UUCGGGUUAAGGAUUGCAGCGGCAUCCUUUUGUUUUUAUAAAAAAGACCUUUCUGCAUUGCACAAGGUGACAAAAAACAAAAGAUAUAGCGGAAAGCCUGACCCCCG
RNAcentral lists this small RNA (107 nucleotides) under Algibacter luteus. RNAcentral's name for it is "Arenitalea lutea Flavo-1 RNA". It matches the Rfam family "Flavo-1 RNA". The record is from Rfam by way of RNAcentral. Lineage: Bacteria; Pseudomonadati; Bacteroidota; Flavobacteriia; Flavobacteriales; Flavobacteriaceae.